UUACCUACGGGGGGCAGCAGUGAGGAAUAUUGGGCAAUGGCCGGAAGGCUGACCCAGCAACGCCGCGUGGAGGACGAAGGCUUUCGGGUUGUAAACUCCUUUUCUGGGGGACGAGGAAGGACGGUACCCUAGGAAUAAGUCACGGCUAACUACGUGCCAGCAGCCGCGGUAAAACGUAGGUGGCGAGCGUUAUCCGGAUUUACUGGGCGUAAAGCGCGCGUAGGUGGUUGAGUAAGUUGGGUGUAAAAUCUCUUGGCUUAACUGGGAGGAGACGCUCAAGACUGCUCGGCUUGAGGUCGAGAGAGGGGUGCAGAAUUCCCGGUGUAGUGGUGGAAUGCGUAGAUAUCGGGAGGAAUACCAGUGGCGAAAGCGGCGCCCUGGCUCGCACCUGACACUGAGGCGCGAAAGCGUGGGGAGCGAACGGGAUUAGAUACCCUGGUAGUCCU
This 446-nucleotide ribosomal RNA is filed under the name uncultured bacterium. RNAcentral describes it as "bacterial SSU rRNA". It matches the Rfam family "Bacterial small subunit ribosomal RNA", at positions 335 to 797 of the family's 1533-position model. The record is from RNAcentral.